UACGUAGGGUGCGAGCGUUAAUCGGAAUUACUGGGCGUAAAGAGUGCGCAGGCGGCCGAGCAAGUCGAGUGUGAAAGCCCCGAGCUUAACUUGGGAACUGCGCUCGAAACUACUUGGCUAGAGUGUGGCAGAGGGAGGUGGAAUUCCACGUGUAGCGGUGAAAUGCGUAGAGAUGUGGAGGAACACCAGUGGCGAAGGCGACUUUCUGGUCUGUAACUGACACUGAGGCGCGAAAGCGUGGGGAGCAAACAGG
This 253-nucleotide ribosomal RNA is filed under the name uncultured bacterium. RNAcentral describes it as "partial 16S ribosomal RNA". It matches the Rfam family "Bacterial small subunit ribosomal RNA", at positions 524 to 776 of the family's 1533-position model. The record is from RNAcentral.